RNAcentral lists this ribosomal RNA (472 nucleotides) under Escherichia coli O104:H21 str. 94-3025. RNAcentral describes it as "bacterial SSU rRNA". It matches the Rfam family "Bacterial small subunit ribosomal RNA", at positions 1 to 470 of the family's 1533-position model. Lineage: Bacteria; Pseudomonadati; Pseudomonadota; Gammaproteobacteria; Enterobacterales; Enterobacteriaceae. The record is from RNAcentral.
AAUUGAAGAGUUUGAUCAUGGCUCAGAUUGAACGCUGGCGGCAGGCCUAACACAUGCAAGUCGAACGGUAACAGGAAGAAGCUUGCUUCUUUGCUGACGAGUGGCGGACGGGUGAGUAAUGUCUGGGAAACUGCCUGAUGGAGGGGGAUAACUACUGGAAACGGUAGCUAAUACCGCAUAACGUCGCAAGACCAAAGAGGGGGACCUUCGGGCCUCUUGCCAUCGGAUGUGCCCAGAUGGGAUUAGCUUGUUGGUGGGGUAACGGCUCACCAAGGCGACGAUCCCUAGCUGGUCUGAGAGGAUGACCAGCCACACUGGAACUGAGACACGGUCCAGACUCCUACGGGAGGCAGCAGUGGGGAAUAUUGCACAAUGGGCGCAAGCCUGAUGCAGCCAUGCCGCGUGUAUGAAGAAGGCCUUCGGGUUGUAAAGUACUUUCAGCGGGGAGGAAGGGAGUAAAGUUAAUACCUUU